This 460-nucleotide ribosomal RNA is filed under the name uncultured bacterium. RNAcentral describes it as "partial 16S ribosomal RNA". It matches the Rfam family "Bacterial small subunit ribosomal RNA", at positions 338 to 795 of the family's 1533-position model. The record is from RNAcentral.
CCUACGGGAGGCAGCAGUGAGGAAUAUUGGUCAAUGGGCUUACGCCUGAACCAGCCAAGUCGCGUGAGGGAAGACUGCCCUAUGGGUUGUAAACCUCUUUUGUCAGGGAGCAACGCCGGCUACGUGUAGCCGGACUGAGAGUACCUGAAGAAAAAGCAUCGGCUACCUCCGUGCCAGCAGCCGCGGAAAUACGGAGUCUGCGAGUGUUAUCCGGAUUGAUUGGGUUUAAAGGGUGCGUAGGCGGAAUGCGAAGUCAUCGGUAAAAUCGCGGGGCGCAACCUAGCUUCGCCGUUGAAACUGGCGUUCUUGAGUGGGCGAGAGGUAUGCGGAAUGCGUGGUGUAGCGGUGAAAUGCUGAGAUAUCACGAAGAACUCCGAGUGCGAAGGCAGCAUACCGGCGCCCAACUGACGCUGAAGCACGAAAGCGUGGGUAUCGAACAGGAUUAGAUACCCGUGUAGUC